CCCGCUGAACUUAAGCAUAUCAAUAAGCGGUGGAAAAGAAACUAACAAGGAUUCCCCUAGUAACUGCGAGUGAAGCGGGAAAAGCUCAAAUUUAAAAUCUGGCGGUCUUUGGCUGUCCGAGUUGUAAUCUAGAGAAGUGUUAUCCGCGCUGGACCGUGUACAAGUCUCCUGGAAUGGAGCAUCAUAGAGGGUGAGAAUCCCGUCUUUGACAUGGACUGCCAGGGCUUUGAGAUGCGCUCUCAAAGAGUCGAGUUGUUUGGGAAUGCAGCUCAAAAUGGGUGGUAAAUUCCAUCUAAAGCUAAAUAUUGGCGAGAGACCGAUAGCGAACAAGUACCGUGAGGGAAAGAUGAAAAGAACUUUGGAAAGAGAGUUAAACAGUCCGUGAAAUUGCUGAAAGGGAAACGCUUGAAGUCAGUUGUGUCGUCCAAGGAUCAACCUUGCUUUUGCUUGGAGCACUUUCUGUUCCGAUGGUUAGGCUUCAUUUUUGAUUGUUGUAAAAAGGUCAAGGGAAUGUGGAACCUUUGGUUGUGUUAUAGCCUUGGGUCACAUACAAUGGUCGGAUUUGAGGAACUCACCACGCCGCAAGCCCGGGUUUUAAACCAGGUACGUGCUUAGGAUGCUGGCAAUAUGGCUUUAAUCGACCUGUCUUGAAACACGG
This 658-nucleotide ribosomal RNA is filed under the name uncultured fungus. RNAcentral's name for it is "eukaryotic LSU rRNA". It matches the Rfam family "Eukaryotic large subunit ribosomal RNA", at positions 24 to 664 of the family's 3401-position model. Lineage: Eukaryota; Fungi. The record is from RNAcentral.